GAUGAACGCUGGCGGCGUGCCUAAUACAUGCAAGUCGAGCGAACAGACGCUGAGCUUGCUUCUCUGACGUUAGCGGCGGACGGGUGUAUAACAUGUGUAUCACCUACCUAUCAGACGGAUAUAACUUCGGGAAACCGGCUCUUAUCCCGGAUAAUAUCUUGAUCCACAGGGUUCGUUAGUGAAAUACGGUCUUGCUGUCACUUAUCGAUGGAUCCCCGCUUCAUUGGCUGGUAGUUACGUUAACGGCUUUCCAAGGCAACGCUGCGUAGCCGACCUGCGGGGGUGAUAGGCGACACGGGAGCUGAGACGCCGUCCAGAGUACUACGGGAGGCAGCAGUAGGGAAUGGUCCGCAAUAGGCGAAAGCCUGACGGAGCAAGGCCGCGUGAGAGAUGAAGGUCCUCGGAGCGUAAAACUCGGUUAUUAGGGAAGAACAGAUGUGGAAGGAACUGUGCAGAUCGUGACGGUACCUAAUCAGAAAGCCACGGCUAACUACGUG
This 497-nucleotide ribosomal RNA is filed under the name uncultured bacterium. Its description in RNAcentral is "partial 16S ribosomal RNA". It matches the Rfam family "Bacterial small subunit ribosomal RNA", at positions 28 to 507 of the family's 1533-position model. The record is from RNAcentral.